GGGCGUGUGGUCUAGUGGUAUGAUUCUCGCUUUGGGCGAUUCUUAAGAGAAACUUAGGGAAUAAAUCACAAACAUGCGAGAGGCCCUGGGUUCAAUUCCCAGCUCGCCCC
This 110-nucleotide transfer RNA is filed under the name Kazachstania africana CBS 2517. It matches the Rfam family "tRNA". From Rfam's summary of the family: Transfer RNA (tRNA) molecules are approximately 80 nucleotides in length. Their secondary structure includes four short double-helical elements and three loops (D, anti-codon, and T loops). The record is from Rfam by way of RNAcentral. Lineage: Eukaryota; Fungi; Ascomycota; Saccharomycetes; Saccharomycetales; Saccharomycetaceae.